UGAAGCACCUGGCAGGGGAGAUACCAUGAUCAAGGUGGUUUCCCAGGGUGAGGCCUGUCCCUUGCACUCCCAAACAGGCUGACCCUUCAAGUUUCUCUGAUGGUGGGAAACUCAGCUGCACAAUUCUGUGGCAAUAGGGAACUGCAUUCAUGCUUCCCUCUG
This 162-nucleotide small nuclear RNA is filed under the name Alligator mississippiensis (American alligator). RNAcentral describes it as "U1 spliceosomal RNA". It matches the Rfam family "U1 spliceosomal RNA". From Rfam's summary of the family: U1 is a small nuclear RNA (snRNA) component of the spliceosome (involved in pre-mRNA splicing). Its 5' end forms complementary base pairs with the 5' splice junction, thus defining the 5' donor site of an intron. Lineage: Eukaryota; Metazoa; Chordata; Crocodylia; Alligatoridae. The record is from Rfam by way of RNAcentral.